Long non-coding RNA from Solea solea (common sole), 1013 nucleotides. RefSeq lists it as uncharacterized. The record is from RefSeq and is a predicted model, not a curated record. NCBI's taxonomy places the organism in Eukaryota, Metazoa, Chordata, Actinopteri, Pleuronectiformes, Soleidae. The transcript has 3 exons.
UCAUGUCGAUUUGAACUUGAUGUGAGAACAAGAAGUGUCUGGAGUUGCACAUACACACACACACACACACACACACACACGCACUCACACACACGCACGCACACACAAACACGCACACACACGUAUGGUGAAAAAAAGGGGCGUUUAUUUCAACGACUACUGUAGCUUUAAGAGAAUUAUCGACCAUCAUCACACUCCAGCCAAGCAACGUAGUUCCCCACCACAGCAGCAGCGGAUUAAUAUCCAAAACGUUAACAGGUUAGUGUCUGCUCAGCAGGUGGAUGAACAUGUAAUGGAGUUGCAGCAUCAGUCGCUGACCAAGGAAUUACUGGGGAAGUUGGUGGUAGAGGGAGGCUAUUGACAUGUCACAGGAAGAUGCUCAAAAAUGUAGAGCACAUGGAGAAGAUCUCUAUGCUGGCUUUCCAUCCAGUUAAGAUGCACAGCUGCUAUGAGAAGGUGGUGAACCUGAGCCUUGAGGGUCUGCAUCAACAGUUUGACCAAAUGGACAAUGCUGUGUAGAUGUUUGAGCAGAUCCUUCAUCAGAGUCUCGAGUCUCAGGGUACAGAGGAGCUGUGUAAGAUCAUCCAGCACUGCCAGGACAGAGUCAUUAAGGUAAUACCCAAAGAAAACAGGCUUGUGCAUCAAAUUCUUGCAUAACAUCCACAUUAAUAUCUCAUAAUAUUACAUCUGGCAUACUCCAGCCCUGGGAGUGAAACUUUUGGUCUGGCCUUGUUUUAGUGUAAAAGAAAAUUCAGGGUUUUGUUUCACUUCAGAUGAGCACAAAUUAAGACGUCAGGAAACGUAAGUGACUGCCACUGCCUGUGUCACUCCUACACAAGGUGUAGCUAUUGUAAAACAAGAUGUGAGUCAGUAUAUGAAAUCAGUGUUUUUCUCUUUCUCGUUCUUAAAUAUGAUGUCAUCAUCCCAGUUUCUUGAAUGUCUAAUGAACUAAACAUCAUUUAGCGAGAUAACCACGUCCUGUGCCAAAUUAAUAAAAUGCACAUGGAAAGAGU